CUUUGAAUCAGGCACCAUUUAUCCGAGAAAAGGCCAUUCUACUAGUAUAACUGAUGGUACUUAUAGGGAAAAGAUUCAUUGAUGAUCAGGAACUAAAUGCACAAUUUCUAGAACUUGUCAUCAACAUCUACAGGUUUUCAACAGCAGUAUUCCACAUAGAGUGUUUGAAAGACUGAUCUACAUAACAUGUUCACAGAACUGGGAACUGAUGGGUGGACACUUCUAGACCAAACAAUGAAUUGAGGAUGAGAUAGAUGUAGAACUUGGUGUUGCUGCUGAUGAGGCAACACAGAAAGAGUCUUCAAAGAAAGAGAUACAGGACCCGAAAUAGAACUUACAGACAUUAUUGUAGAGACAAGCAAAGUUCCUGGAGAAUUGUAGGGAAGUCAGUGUAAGAACAUUUUGAAUUAAGCUAACAUUGGUAGAUGUAUAUAGGAUGACAGUAGACUUUAAUUAGAAUAAACUAUGGUGAGCUGAUUGAAAGAGUAACAAGUACAAAGAACCAGUGAGAAAUAAAAGUGGAAAGCCUGAG
Mercenaria mercenaria is the source of this 532-nucleotide long non-coding RNA. RefSeq lists it as uncharacterized. Lineage: Eukaryota; Metazoa; Mollusca; Bivalvia; Venerida; Veneridae. The record is from RefSeq and is a predicted model, not a curated record. The transcript has 3 exons.